GCUUCCUUAGCUCAGCUGGUUAGAGCGUGGUGCUAAUAACGCCAAGGUCUUGGGUUCGAUCCCCGAAGGAAGCA
Molecule: non-coding RNA, 74 nt
Organism: Tubulinosema ratisbonensis
Lineage: Eukaryota; Fungi; Microsporidia; Tubulinosematidae
Source: the annotation of a GenBank genome assembly